GACGAACGCUGGCGGCGUGCCUAACACAUGCAAGUCGAACGGAAAGGCCCUGCUUUUGUGGGGUGCCCGAGUGGCGAACGGGUGAGUAACACGUGAGUAACCUGCCCUUGACUUUGGGAUAACUUCAGGAAACCGGGGCUAAUACCGGAUAGCAGCUCCUGCUGCAUGGUGGGGGUCGGAAAGUUUGGGCGGAUGGGGAGGUACUCGCGGCUUAUCAGCUUGUUGGGGAGGUAGUGGCUUACCAAGGCUUGGACGGGUAGCCGGCCUGGGAGGGAGACCGGCCACAUAGGGCGUGGGAGGCGGCCCGGGCGGAUUCGGGGGGAAGGAGUGGAGAAUAUAGCACAAUGGGCGGAGGCGGGAAGGAGGAACGCCGGGUGGGGAAUGACGGCCUUCGGGUAGUAAACCGAUUUCGCCAGUAACGAGGUGUGAGGGAGGUAAAUGGGGAAAAAGGCACGGGCAAACUAGUG
RNAcentral lists this ribosomal RNA (467 nucleotides) under uncultured bacterium. RNAcentral describes it as "partial 16S ribosomal RNA". It matches the Rfam family "Bacterial small subunit ribosomal RNA", at positions 28 to 507 of the family's 1533-position model. The record is from RNAcentral.